RNAcentral lists this ribosomal RNA (571 nucleotides) under uncultured bacterium. Its description in RNAcentral is "bacterial SSU rRNA". It matches the Rfam family "Bacterial small subunit ribosomal RNA", at positions 823 to 1395 of the family's 1533-position model. The record is from RNAcentral.
UGGGGACUUUUCACGGUUUCCGCGCCGCAGCUAACGCAUUAAGUGCCCCGCCUGGGGAGUACGGUCGCAAGACUAAAACUCAAAGAAAUUGACGGGGGCCCGCACAAGCAGCGGAGCAUGUGGCUUAAUUCGAUGCAACGCGAAAAACCUUACCUAGAUUUGACAUGCUGGGAAAAGCCACAGAGAUGUGGUGUCCUUCGGGGCCCAGCACAGGUGGUGCAUGGCUGUCGUCAGCUCGUGUCGUGAGAUGUUGGGUUAAGUCCCGCAACGAGCGCAACCCUUGUUCUAUGUUGCCAGCACGUUAUGGUGGGGACUCGUAGAAGACUGCCGGGGUCAACUCGGAGGAAGGUGGGGACGACGUCAAGUCAUCAUGCCCCUUACGUCUAGGGCUGCACACAUGCUACAAUGGGCGGUACAGAGGGCUGCUAAACCGCGAGGUGGAGCCAAUCCCUAAAACCGCUCUCAGUUCAGAUUGCAGGCUGCAACUCGCCUGCAUGAAGUUGGAGUUGCUAGUAAUCCCGGAUCAGCACUGCCGGGGUGAAUACGUUCCCGGGCCUUGUACACACCGCCC